Molecule: transfer RNA, 68 nt
Filed under: Neolaxta sp. B107
Lineage: Eukaryota; Metazoa; Arthropoda; Insecta; Blattodea; Blaberidae
Description: tRNA-Ser
Rfam family: tRNA
About the family: Transfer RNA (tRNA) molecules are approximately 80 nucleotides in length. Their secondary structure includes four short double-helical elements and three loops (D, anti-codon, and T loops).
Source: RNAcentral
AGUUGAUUAUUUUAGAAAAAAAAAUGUUUUGAAAACAUUUAUAAGGGGUUAAAUUCCCCUAUUAACUU